RNAcentral lists this long non-coding RNA (292 nucleotides) under Rhinopithecus roxellana (golden snub-nosed monkey). RNAcentral describes it as "lncRNA (ENSRROG00000045906.1)". The record is from RNAcentral. Lineage: Eukaryota; Metazoa; Chordata; Mammalia; Primates; Cercopithecidae.
CUGGGGUAAAGGUGAUAAGCCGCACGCUGAAAGUUAGAGUGACUGGGAGAUGAGGAAGUGGCUACAGAAUAUUCAAGGACAUUGUGAUGCAUGGAAUCCCCUCUGCAGUUAUGUUUGCUUGUGCAUCUCCGGCAGCUGGAGGACGAAUCAUAUCAAGCUGAUGAGUGUGUCACACUUUUCAUCCCCCAAUUGCAGAUAUUGACCUUCCGAUGAAAUAUUUUCUUUGUGUGAGAAGGCUUUGCCAAGGUUGCAUUUAUUAGGCAGGUGCCUGGUAAGUGUUUCUAAGCAAAUA